Molecule: transfer RNA, 76 nt
Filed under: bacterium
Lineage: Bacteria
Also listed under: 5 other names
Description: tRNA-Gly
Rfam family: tRNA
About the family: Transfer RNA (tRNA) molecules are approximately 80 nucleotides in length. Their secondary structure includes four short double-helical elements and three loops (D, anti-codon, and T loops). Further hydrogen bonds mediate the characteristic L-shaped molecular structure. tRNAs have two regions of fundamental functional importance: the anti-codon, which is responsible for specific mRNA codon recognition, and the 3' end, to which the tRNAs corresponding amino acid is attached (by aminoacyl-tRNA synthetases). tRNAs cope with the degeneracy of the genetic code in two manners: having more than one tRNA (with a specific anti-codon) for a particular amino acid; and 'wobble' base-pairing, i.e. permitting non-standard base-pairing at the 3rd anti-codon position.
Source: RNAcentral
GCGGGAGUAGCUCAGCUGGCAGAGCGCGACCUUCCCAAGGUUGAGGCCGCGGGUUCGAUCCCCGUCUCCCGCUCCA